This 341-nucleotide unclassified non-coding RNA is filed under the name soil metagenome. RNAcentral describes it as "partial contains 5.8S ribosomal RNA, internal transcribed spacer 2, and large subunit ribosomal RNA". The stretch from base 1 to 120 matches the Rfam family "5.8S ribosomal RNA", at positions 35 to 154 of the family's 154-position model. The record is from RNAcentral.
GAUGAAGAACGCAGCGAAAUGCGAUAAGUAGUGUGAAUUGCAGAAUUCAGUGAAUCAUCGAAUCUUUGAACGCACAUUGCGCCCCUUGGUAUUCCAUGGGGCAUGCCUGUUCGAGCGUCAUUUGUACCUUCAAGCUUUGCUUGGUGUUGGGCGUCUUGUCUCUAGCUUUGCUGGAGACUCGCCUUAAAGUAAUUGGCAGCCGGCCUACUGGUUUCGGAGCGCAGCACAAGUCGCACUCUCUAUCAGCAAAGGUCUAGCAUCCAUUAAGCCUUUUUUUCAACUUUUGACCUCGGAUCAGGUAGGGAUACCCGCUGAACUUAAGCAUAUCAAUAAGCGGAGGA